RNAcentral lists this unclassified non-coding RNA (336 nucleotides) under soil metagenome. RNAcentral's name for it is "partial contains 5.8S ribosomal RNA, internal transcribed spacer 2, and large subunit ribosomal RNA". The stretch from base 1 to 120 matches the Rfam family "5.8S ribosomal RNA", at positions 35 to 154 of the family's 154-position model. The record is from RNAcentral.
GAUGAAGAACGCAGCGAAAUGCGAUAAGUAAUGUGAAUUGCAGAAUUCAGUGAAUCAUCGAAUCUUUGAACGCACAUUGCGCCCGCCAGUAUUCUGGCGGGCAUGCCUGUUCGAGCGUCAUUUCAACCAUCAAGCCCCCGGCCUGUGUUGGGGACCUGCGGCUGCCCGCAGGCCCUGAAAACCAGUGGCGGGCUCGCUGUCACUCCGAGCGUAGUAGCAUAUAUCUCGCUCAGGGCGUGCUGCGGGUUCCGGCCGUUAAAAGCCUUUUUUUACCCAAGGUUGACCUCGGAUCAGGUAGGAAGACCCGCUGAACUUAAGCAUAUCAAUAAGCGAGGA